Molecule: non-coding RNA, 190 nt
Filed under: Peptococcaceae bacterium CEB3
Lineage: Bacteria; Bacillati; Bacillota; Clostridia; Eubacteriales; Peptococcaceae
Also listed under: 1 other name
Source: RNAcentral
AAUUAAAUAUGUGGAAUGAGUGAUUCUUCCCCGAGGGGAAGGAUUGAAAAGGGAAGCCAGUAUAAGCUGGCGCGGUGCCCGCCACUGUGGAAGGGAGUCAACUCACAGGGUGUCACUGGGUGUAUACCUGGGAAGACGUGCGUUGAUGAUGAACUUGAGUCAGGAGACCUGCUUGUUCCAAAUGCCGAGA